AAGGUGAGACGUUCUAUCGCUCCGAAAGGGGAGGAAAGUCCGGACAGUACAGAGCACCUUCCUGUGGAAAGCACAGAUGGGCGUAAGUUUAUGGACGGCGUAACAGAGAACAACCGCCGGUUGCGGAUCCGUUCCGUGGCAGGCAAGGGUGAAAACGUGAGGCAAGAGCUCACGACUGCGUAUGGCGACAUGCGUGGGGUACGCACCGAAGGACUGCAAGGCCAAAUAUAUCGGUAAUCAAGGGUUGCUCGCCCGCUGCCGAGGGGUAGGCUGCAUCAGAGAAAUGAUAGAAGCCCGCAAGGGUACAGAAUUCGGCUUACAGGCUCACCUUUUUU
This 335-nucleotide RNase P RNA is filed under the name Candidatus Cacconaster equi. RNAcentral's name for it is "RNase P RNA component class A". It matches the Rfam family "Bacterial RNase P class A". Rfam says of the family: Ribonuclease P (RNase P) is a ubiquitous endoribonuclease, found in archaea, bacteria and eukarya as well as chloroplasts and mitochondria. Its best characterised activity is the generation of mature 5'-ends of tRNAs by cleaving the 5'-leader elements of precursor-tRNAs. Lineage: Bacteria; Pseudomonadati; Bacteroidota; Bacteroidia; Bacteroidales. The record is from RNAcentral.